UCACAUCAUGUCAACAUACCGGUUCCAGUACGAUCACCGAAGUUAAGCAACGUCGUGCCUGCUCAGUACCAAAAUUGGUGACCGCUUGCAAAGACCAGGUGCUGUAAG
Molecule: non-coding RNA, 108 nt
Organism: Acanthosepion pharaonis
Lineage: Eukaryota; Metazoa; Mollusca; Cephalopoda; Sepiida; Sepiidae
Source: the annotation of a GenBank genome assembly